Molecule: unclassified non-coding RNA, 305 nt
Filed under: plant metagenome
Description: partial contains 5.8S ribosomal RNA, internal transcribed spacer 2, and large subunit ribosomal RNA
Rfam family: 5.8S ribosomal RNA (bases 1-105)
Source: RNAcentral
GAAAUGCGAUAAGUAAUGUGAAUUGCAGAAUUCAGUGAAUCAUCGAAUCUUUGAACGCACAUUGCGCCCGCCAGUAUUCUGGCGGGCAUGCCUGUUCGAGCGUCAUUUCAACCAUCAAGCCCCCGGCUUGUGUUGGGGACCUGCGGCUGCCCGCAGGCCCUGAAAAACAGUGGCGGGCUCGCUGUCACACCGAGCGUAGUAGCAUACAUUCUCGCUCAGGGCGUGCUGCGGGUUCCGGCCGUUAAACGACCUUCAUAACCCAAGGUUGACCUCGGAUCCGGUAGGAAGACCCGCUGAACUUAAGC